This 672-nucleotide ribosomal RNA is filed under the name Rhodotorula sp. CRUB 1485. RNAcentral describes it as "eukaryotic LSU rRNA". It matches the Rfam family "Eukaryotic large subunit ribosomal RNA", at positions 63 to 749 of the family's 3401-position model. Lineage: Eukaryota; Fungi; Basidiomycota; Microbotryomycetes; Sporidiobolales; Sporidiobolaceae. The record is from RNAcentral.
AACUAACAAGGAUUCCCCUAGUAGCGGCGAGCGAAGCGGGAAGAGCUCAAAUUUAUAAUCUGGCACCUUCGGUGUCCGAGUUGUAAUCUCUAGAAGUGUUUUCCGCGUUGGACCGCACACAAGUCUGUUGGAAUACAGCGGCAUAGUGGUGAGACCCCCGUAUAUGGUGCGGACGCCCAACGCUUUGUGAUACACUUUCGAAGAGUCGAGUUGUUUGGGAAUGCAGCUCAAAUUGGGUGGUAAAUUCCAUCUAAAGCUAAAUAUUGGCGAGAGACCGAUAGCGAACAAGUACCGUGAGGGAAAGAUGAAAAGCACUUUGGAAAGAGAGUUAACAGUACGUGAAAUUGUUGGAAGGGAAACGCUUGAAGUCAGACUUGCUUGCCGAGCAAUCGGUUUGCAGGCCAGCAUCAGUUUUCCGGGGUGGAUAAUGGUAGAGAGAAGGUAGCAGUUUCGGCUGUGUUAUAGCUCUCUGCUGGAUACACCUUGGGGGACUGAGGAACGCAGUGUGCCUUACGGCGGAUUUCUCGAGAUCUUCACACUUAGGAUGCUGGUGGAAUGGCUUUAAACGACCCGUCUUGAAACACGGACCAAGGAGUCUAACAUGCUUGCGAGUAUUUGGGGUGUCAAACCCGGGAUGCGUAAUGAAAGUGAAUGGAGGUGGGAACCGCAAAG